RNAcentral lists this ribosomal RNA (253 nucleotides) under uncultured bacterium. RNAcentral describes it as "partial 16S ribosomal RNA". It matches the Rfam family "Bacterial small subunit ribosomal RNA", at positions 524 to 776 of the family's 1533-position model. The record is from RNAcentral.
UACGUAGGGGGCAAGCGUUGUCCGGAAUCAUUGGGCGUAAAGAGCGCGUAGGCGGCCCUGUAAGUCCGCUGUGAAAGUCAAGGGCUCAACCCUUGGAUGCCGGUGGAUACUGCAGGGCUAGAGUCCGGAAGAGGCGAGUGGAAUUCCUGGUGUAGCGGUGAAAUGCGUAGAUAUCGGGAGGAACACCUGUGGCGAAAGCGGCGCACUGGACCACAACUGACGCUGAGGCGCGAAAGCUAGGGGAGCAAACGGG